AGAGGAAGUCCGGUGCGAAUCCGGCGCGGUCCCGCCACUGUCACCGGGGAGCGCCCCUCCGAAAGAGGGCCACGGCCCGUACGCGCUACGGGCGGGAAGGCCAGGGGGCGGCGCCGAUCCGGGAGCCAGGAGACUC
This 136-nucleotide non-coding RNA is filed under the name Streptomyces sp. Lineage: Bacteria; Bacillati; Actinomycetota; Actinomycetes; Kitasatosporales; Streptomycetaceae. The record is from RNAcentral.